AACAAACUGAGUUUGUCAAGCCAGAAAGCAACCCUCCAGCAUCCAGAUUACCCUUCGAAGACGGCAAAGAAAAAGAGAGCUCUGAAAUCACUCAACGCAUAGGAGCUGGUUCUAUAAUUUUUAGACUUUAAUUAAAUCAAUUAUUAAAGCCUUUCUUAAUGCCUUGCUGAGAUAUUCAGGCUCGGGCUGCCUCAGGAGAGAGGAAGUGGUUGAAUGCACAGAGGUGGCUAAUAAGGUUGGUCACUGGCCCCUGAGGGACGCUAGGCAAUAAGGAAGGUUCUCCCUUCCACACCCUUUCCAGUCUCGCCCUCACUCCUUGUGUCUCUUCCAGAGGGGACACAACAUUCCAGAAUCCCACAGGAAAGAUUCUACCAUCUCCACAGCUGCCCUCGCCGCAGUCCUCCCUACUGUUGGAGAAGAUGCCCCCAAUAACUGGGGUGUCUCGAGCUAGUGGACACAUCAUGGAGCUGGGUGAGGCCAGAGGACCUUCCUAGAAAAGGGAAUAUUUCUCUCUCUCUCUUAGUGAUCUGCCUGGGUCAGGAGUUUGGGAUCACUGGCAAGUUGAACAGGUCCUGUGGAUCUUUUCUAGCCUCUGUGUGCCCUAGAGAAGGAGGGCUGGCUCACAUCUCCCUGUGGCCGUAUUCAGAAAUAACUGGGGAAUAGAACACAGUGUAUUGGCUCGUACAGAGUCCACGGUGAGGGGCCGUGGCCAUACCUGCUGCCUUGUUGACCUUGGUUUGCAGAGUGGACUGUGUCAUUAAGAUCCUCCCAUGGCCUCAUCCUGUGCUGGCCAUCGCUAUGCGUCCAGUAAGGAGGUAGAACACUGGAUGAGCCACAGAAAGCACACAGGACUUUGCUGUGGAAGAGUCAAAGAUCCACGUGGGAGCAUCCCGUAGGGGACUUGCGUUUCAGAUCAGAUGAUGCUUUUCAUGUAUGUCCAGCAGCAAGAGAGUCCUUCACUGGUGAAAAAUCACGGGCCUCAGAGCAGAUUUUAGUUCAUCUUUCAUUUCAAAGCACUCCUUAGAUAUCUGCAAAUUAAAUCCCCUAAUUUGGUGAGGACGCCCAGCUUCCCAAAUAACAAGGCUUUUCCUUUGAUUCUAACCAAGUGAGCCGGCCCUGCAAAAGCCGGGGUGCGUGUUCUGGCUCCAGGCUUCUGAGCAGCCUUUCUCCCCACGCUGCAGCUUUUCAGUUAGGAAGUCAGAGAGAAGGAAAGAGAACUAUUUCCAAUUCAAUCACGAGCAUGUCUACGCACCACUGAAGACAGACCUUUGUCCUGUUGCUUUCCAAACUUUAAAUGUGAAUUUUUCUUCUUAUGAUGACUGGUGUACUCUGUUAUUCUGAAAAAAGAAAAAGCCAUAAGCACCCUGAAGUGAGG
RNAcentral lists this long non-coding RNA (1375 nucleotides) under Homo sapiens (human). RNAcentral describes it as "non-protein coding LINC01927:8". Lineage: Eukaryota; Metazoa; Chordata; Mammalia; Primates; Hominidae. The record is from RNAcentral.